RNAcentral lists this long non-coding RNA (1322 nucleotides) under Homo sapiens (human). RNAcentral's name for it is "HSALNT0367382". Lineage: Eukaryota; Metazoa; Chordata; Mammalia; Primates; Hominidae. The record is from RNAcentral.
AGUCCGGUCUCUGCUUUUGGAGCGCGUGGGCUCUGCGAGCGCCAGGGCUGGGGACCCUGGAAUACCUGUUCCUCCAGCACGAGGAUGGGGUCCAACUAGUGGUCCUCUAAAUCCUGCUCCUUCCCCGAGGCUACGGGAAGCGCUCCAGCCACAAGGAAACGGCUCCAGUCUUUCGGCUCCCAAACGUGACACUCUAUAUAUCCGGCUCGGAGACUGGGUGUGGGGCGGGAGGAAACCACCCUCCCUCCGACCUUCCCCGGCUCCGCCGCUGCCUCGGCACUGGGCGCGAAACCGGCGGCAGCCUCAGCCCGGGGCGGGAGGAGGGUGAGGGGCCAGCGAAGGCCCUACAGGUCGCGGGGGCGACAGCAUCGUGGGCAGGGCGGCCGCGCGCGCAGGCCCGCCCCGCGCUUCCAUUCGUUCAGCACCAGCGGAUCCACUGGCUAUGACUCCCGCAUUUGUGUGGUUUGGGGGAGGGGAGUUGGUUUUGGUUUCGGUGGGUUUGGUUUGUUUGUUUGUUUGGGGCUUUUGUUUUGUUUUGUUUUGGGUUUUGGGGUUGGUUUUUUUCUCCAUUUUUUAAUCAGUGGGCGAGGGGACAAGGAAGCUAGAAAGGCGCCCCUCUCUGGUGUGGGAAAGGAGAACUCCCACACCGUGAAAGGUGGCGGGGUAGGGGGGUGGAGGGAGAGACCGAGACAGGAGAGAGAUUCAAAGGUUCUAGUCUGAACUGAACGCUUGGGGGACAUACCUUUCCCCACCCACCCUAGCAGAAAAGGCAGCCAAAAAUCCCAGUUUACUCAGCUUGACUACACUGCACAUCCCGUGGGAGGGAUGCUCUUGUAUCUGCUAAAGACAUUGCGGAGGCGCCCUGCAGUGACCCACGAACGCAGUGGCUUUUUAAAACCCAAGGGCGUGAGGGUGGAGGGUGAUGCGAGGACUUCAGGUGAGGCUUCCUCACACUCGGGGUUUGAAGGGCAGAAAUCCGGCUCUGCCUGCCUAUGGUGGGGUGGGGGUGGGUAGGAGACUAGAAAGGAUCAGAGAUGGGGGCCGCAGAAACAGCAGUGAGCCAGCUGUGCUCAGCAGCACUUCUCCGGACUUAAAAGAAAAAAAGAUGUUUCAUUUCUUAGCCUGGUAGCUUUUUUGGGAUUUGGUCAUUGUUAAAUUUUAAACGGAAAAACAAGCUGCCAGGGAAGCCUUGUAGAGGGAUGGACAGGCACGUGAGUGGAGCCCUUGGCCUCAACCAGGAAGUGCUGAAAAACGGCCAACGCCCAUCCUAAUUCCCUGGACAAUGUAGGAGGUAAAUUUCCAAAUAAAUAUGGUGUGUUAAG